This is a long non-coding RNA of Haliotis rufescens (red abalone), 720 nucleotides long. RefSeq lists it as uncharacterized. The record is from RefSeq and is a predicted model, not a curated record. The transcript has 3 exons. NCBI's taxonomy places the organism in Eukaryota, Metazoa, Mollusca, Gastropoda, Lepetellida, Haliotidae.
AAUGACACGAAUUAUUUUUCACACUUCGUCAUAUCACGUUUGAAAAGGAAGUCCUAAACAGCUUGGUUAAAUGAUAUUGUCGAUUUCUUUUUUCAGCGACAGAAGCAGCUUCAAACACCGAUGGGACGCAAUCAGUGCCAUCAGGUAAGGCCGUUCUUGGUUGGAUCAAAGCUUGUUUUCCUUCCUGUUGGGUUUUUGGUUGGAUUUGUGACUGUUGGUAUUAUCUUCAUCUUGUAUAUGAAAAGGAGACAAAGCAACCCGGCCUUUGUUUCACCUUCGCUACGGUUUACCCCUGAAGGGAAUGACGCCCUUGAGCCCAUCAACAUCGGGAUACGGCUCCCCCUCUCCAACUUUCCACAAAGAGCCUUAGUCCCGAUAUCCACAACCAGGACGACCCCGACUACAGUGUGGCUACCCUCAAACCUAACCCCAACCCUCUGUCACUGUCAAACCUAACCAUCGACAAGAACAAGCUUCGAUCCAACGCAGAACCGUGAACAGUGAAGUAACUAUGACAUCCUUGCAAUUUGUUGCCCGUACGCAGAUAGAAAAUUUAAUGUAUAAUUGACCUUAUUAUUUGCUAGAAGCAUAUUAUUUGGGCUUUGCUGCGUCCUACCAAAAGACGUUAAAAUAUGGUACUUUUUGUUACCAUGUCUGGCGCUAGGCAUUAAGGGGCUAAAACAAGGACUGGUCGGCUCGGAGUCAGUAUACUGUGCCUGA